CGGCGGUUUCGCGUUUUGGAGCCUCGCCGACACGAUGACGUCAGACGUUCGAGGCGCAAGCCGAGGGAACGCGUUUAAAGCCGAAUAGGGCGUGAAAGUGUGCGUAGCGCGGCGCUCGUCUCCCUUCGUAGUUCUUUAACCCGCGUCUCGCCCGGAGCCGAGUAAAAUGCGCGCUUAGGCCGCGCGUGUGUACUGUGAUAGAUAGGAAUACAAUACGUGGGUUAAUCAUGUUUGGUGCUCUCGCGGUGUGAUCGAUAUAUCCGCGAUACGCUUCGAGGGAGAAAGGCGAGUCGGGCCGAGUAGCGGGGAAUCAUGUUCCGCUGCAUUCCGAUAUUCAAAGCGUGUAACAGGCAGGUGGAAUACGUUGACAGGCGGCACUGCUCCCUCACGAACGUGCCCGACGACAUCCUGAGGUACUCCUGCAGCCUCGAGGAACUCCUCCUCGACGCCAACCACAUCAGGGACCUGCCAAAGAACUUGUUCCGCCUCCAAAGGCUACGUAAACUGGGACUCAGCGACAAUGAGAUCCACCGACUGCCCCCUGAGAUCCAGAACUUCGAGAACCUCGUGGAACUCGACGUCUCCAGGAAUGACAUUCCGGACAUUCCCGAGAACAUCAAGAAUUUGCGGGCUCUGCAAGUGGCCGACUUCAGCAGUAAUCCAAUUCCCAGGCUUCCGGCAGGAUUCGUACAGCUGAGAAACUUGACCGUACUCGGCCUAAAUGAUAUGUCGCUCAUGAAUUUGCCGCCCGACUUUGGAUGUCUCGAGGCGCUGCAGUCGUUGGAGCUGAGGGAGAACUUGCUGAAGUCCUUGCCGGAGUCGUUGUCUCAGCUAACGAAAUUGGAGCGACUGGACCUCGGCGACAACGAAAUAGAGGAAUUGCCACCGCACAUAGGGAAAUUGCCGGCUCUUCAGGAACUAUGGCUAGACCACAACCAGCUCCAGCACCUGCCUCCAGAAAUCGGGGAGCUGAGCACCCUGGCAUGCCUGGACGUAUCCGAAAACCGCCUUGAAGACCUACCCGACGAGAUAGGAGGCCUCGAGUCGCUGACGGACUUGCACCUCUCACAGAACGUCAUCGAGAAGCUGCCGGACGGCCUCGGCGAGCUGAAGAAGCUGACCAUCCUCAAGGUCGACCAAAACCGAUUGUCGACGUUGAACCCCAACAUCGGCAGGUGCGAGAAUCUCCAGGAGCUCAUUCUCACGGAGAACUUUCUCCUGGAGCUGCCGGUGUCCAUCGGGAAGCUGCUCAAUCUGAACAACCUGAACGUCGACAGGAAUAGCCUGCAGUCCCUCCCCACGGAGACAGGGAACCUGAAGAAACUGGGAGUCUUGUCGCUCAGGGACAAUAAACUCCAGUACCUACCCGCGGAAGUGGGACAGUGUAGUGCUCUUCAUGUACUCGAUGUGUCCGGUAACAGGUUGCAGUACCUGCCGUACUCGCUGAUCAACCUGAACCUGAAGGCGGUCUGGCUGAGCGAGAACCAGGCGCAGCCGAUGCUGACGUUCCAAACAGACGUAGACGAGGAAACCGGACAAGAGGUGCUCACGUGUUUCCUUCUGCCCCAACUGGAAUAUCAUCCCGAUGGGCAGCACGACGCUGGAAGGCUGGGCAUGUUGGCAGGACUGAGAAACGUGGUCCAGACCGGGGAGAUGAGGGAGCUGGAGAGCAGCGACGACGAGGGCUGGCAGGAGCGAGAAGCCUCCAGGACGCAUUCCGUCAAGUUCACCGACGAGCCCUCCGAGGGGGACAAGGAGACGCCGUUCGUGCGGCAGAACACUCCCCAUCCUAAGGAACUGAAGGCGAAGGCCCACAAGCUCUUCAGCAAAGGGAGGAACGACAGCAGGUCCGCCUCCACCGACGAGCAAGAUGUCUCGCAGACCUUCGGUCUGGACAAGGCGGAGAACGACGCGACCGGGAACGCGGUCGAGGCCACGCAGAACGCACAGCAGGAGCCCCCGGUCGACCCUGAGGUGGCGUCGAUGACGAAAGUGCCGUCGUCGGAAAAUUUACAAGACAACACACAGUCCAUCAACGAGCCGGAUUCGAUCUCUUCUAGGCAGACGGAAUCUCAGGCACCGCUGGAUUUGGAUGUCGAGGGUUCGGUGUCGGAAUCAAGGGGUAGGGAGGAGGAUGAGUCCGAGGGGGAGGACGUGCAAAGGCACGUCGAGUUUUCCAUUUCGGAAGGGACGGAUGGCGAGGGCGGGGGUGACCCUGGUCGGCCUAAUCGGCUGCACCGGCGAGACACCCCCCACCAUCUCAAAAACAAGCGUAUUCACCCGGGAAUUGACAAGGACAAAGUCGCGUCCAUCAUUGCACAGGCACUGACCAAGAGGAGCGACGAGGUUCCUGCACCCCUUUCUGCCCCCACGGAAUCUGCGGAGGAUUUGCAUAGUCAAGGGGCGAUUUCUGACGCCGAGCCAACGCUGGAAGUUAGAGAAGAGCAGUACGAGAUUCACAUAGAAAGAACCACCGGUGGACUCGGAUUGUCAAUAGCUGGUGGCAUCGGCUCGACGCCAUUCAAAGGGGACGACGAAGGUAUUUUUAUUUCCCGAGUGACCGAAGGCGGUCCAGCCGACCUGGCUGGCCUCAGGGUAGGCGACAAGGUGAUCUCGGUGAACGGGGUCUCGGUGGUAAACGUGGAUCAUUACGACGCAGUCGAGGUAUUGAAAGCGUGCGGACGUGUCCUCGUGCUCGUAGUCGUCAGGGAGGUCACGAGAAUAGUGCCGCCACCGGAACAGCUGUCAGCGAGGAAAGACUCGGUGUGCUCCAGUCUGAGCACAAGUCGAGCCGCGAGUGCGACCUCCUACGUCUCGUCGACGGCCCUUUCCCAUACCUUGGAGAAUGGUGAGUCCUGUACGACGCACGACACCAUGAAGGCAAAGAAGUCCAUAGAACCGAUUCCAGCGGCGAGAUCAAGCGGGGAGCCGAUGGUCCCUGUUCUCGUGCACACCACCUUGAUUCGAGAUCAGAACGGACUGGGCUUCAGCAUCGCCGGGGGGAAGAGCUCUCCUCCAUUUAAGGACAACACCGACGCUGUAUUCAUCUCGAGAAUAACGGACGGUGGAGUGGCGCAGAAGGACGGCAAGCUGAUGAUCGGGGACAAGGUGGUGUCUAUAAAUGGCGUGGAGAUGUCGGGGGCAAAGCACGAACAGGCAGUGUCGAUGCUGACGGGCCUGGAGAGGUUUGUUCGCCUUGUGGUGGAGCGCGAGGUGCCCCUUUCUCAGGCGAACCCGGCGACUGCGGCGACACCCUCGGAGAAGUCCCCUAGGGUCAUCGGGGCCCCUAGGCCCUACACAGGCUUGUACAACGCGAACAGCUAUAUGGCCAACAGGCCCUCGGCCUAUGCAGGGUAUCGACGUUCCGUCGAUCUCGAGAAACUGGCUCCGUCGCCCAGCCCGGUCACCUCGGACACGCCUCCACCGGAUCCCUUGAAGACGGAGGCUGCGAACGGCCUGCCGAAGAUGAAUGGGGUCGGAGAGGUUCCCAACGUCCCCUCGAAGACGUCUCCUCCGGUCACUCCAACGAUCCAUUCUCAGACUCGGUUGAAGAUGCAACCUCAGCCCGCUCCUCGUCAAAGCGUCGCGCAACCUGGGGGACAGGGGGCUCCGGAUAGUCCCGCUGGACCCCUUCCCGCCUCUCCCACGGGGUCUGACACCCAAAGGCCCGUCUCUCCUCAGGAUGACGUUCAGGCUCCCGGGCCCAUCACCAAUGAGGAAUUUCAGGCCAUGAUCCCUGCCCAUUUCCGCCGAGCUCCCGCCUCCUCGCCCUCCCCGGAGGCCCAUCAGGGUCCUACGGUCACUGUCACUAUUAAGCAACCUGAUCUUAUCCCUGGGGAUGUUUGUCUACCUCCGGCGCCGACCGCUCUCGGCAAAGUUACGGAGACCAUCACUAAGAGCACCCUUACCGAGACCGUCGUCACCCGGGUGACCGAUAAUCACCUCGUCGAGCCCGUCAUCAUCGAGGACGUCGUGCUCAUCAAGGAAGGCUCUCUAGGCUUUAGUAUCAUCGGCGGGACCGAUCAUUCCUGCACGCCUUUCGGCGCAAAGGAACCUGGAAUAUUUAUAUCUCACGUUGUACCUGGUGGCAUUGCGGCCAAAUCCGGAAAGCUACGAAUGGGAGACAGAAUUCUCAAAGUGAACGGCACCGACGUGACUAAAGCUACCCAUCAGGAAGCCGUCAUGGAGCUGCUUCGUCCUGGGGACUCUAUCGUCUUGACCGUCCAACACGAUCCACUUCCUGAGAGCUAUCAGGAACUGGUGAUAAUUAAGGAGCCAGGUGAGAAACUAGGCAUGCACAUUAAAGGUGGACUGAGAGGACAGCGAGGGAAUCCUCUCGAUCAUAGCGACGAAGGUGUCUUUAUCUCGAAGAUAAACUCCGAUGGUGCUGCGAAAAGGGACGGAAGGUUAAAGGCUGGCAUGAGGUUGCUGGAAGUCAACGGGACGUCGUUGCUGGGAGCUACUCAUCAGGAGGCCGUGAACAUUCUGAGGUGCUCGGGGAACAUCAUCAAGCUGGUGGUCUGCAAGGGGUACGACAGGGGCGAGGUCGAGCAGGUGUUGACGAUGACAGGUGGCAGGGAUUCGAAGGAGUCCAAGGUGUCCAGGGAUGACAAGGAGGGACCUCCCGAUGGCAUAAAGUCCUUAUCGCAAAGUGUGUCCAGCCUGGACCGGGAUGACGAGGAGGCUGCCACUCUCAGACAGGAGCAGGAGAUGAAGGCCGAGCUGGUAGCCUGGGAACAAGAAGAGCGAGAACGCGCCCUUGUCGAACAACGCGAAAAAUCGACCCCCGAGAAGGUGCUCGAUGUAGUGCGAGCUGCCGAGUCGUUGGUGAACAAGUCGAACAGCCCCGUGGACAUGUACGUGCCUCCAAAGUCCCCAGGAGGCACGAAAGACGUGAAGACGACGACGAUCGUCAUGAGCAAACACACGCUGGCGCCCCAAAACCCGACACCAGUAAGCAAAGAGGAUUCAGGGACAUCCGUCGACAGUCCCACGUCGACGAGUUCUCCGAUCUCCAUCCUGUCGCCACUGUCCUCCAUGACGACGUCCUUAAACAAUUCUUCGUCCUUAACGAGCCCGACCUCACAGACCCUUCCCUCGCCCUCGAGGAAGACCUCGACCCCGAAACGGAGCAUAACCUUCGCCGCCUUGCCAACCUCCCCGAGAACGACCUCGAUAGGAGGGUCCCUGUCGACCUCCGACCUCCUAAAAUCCACCCCGAGACAAAGACCCUACUCCGUGCACGAUAAGCCCCUGAAGAGUCCCUCUUAUCAGAGCCUCCUGACCGGAGGUCAGUCUCGUUUUCGGCUUCCUCCCACGCCCCUGACCAGUCCUGGCCUGGGAAACCUUGCUGGGAAAACCGGCCUCACGAGUUCCCUAAAAAACCGACAGAUUGCACGCUCUGUUGCCGAUAACACCCUGGUCGAGCCUUCGCCGAGUCCAUCGCCGACCCCUGGCCCCGUGAAGAUGACGGUCAGCGAUAGGAAGAGGCUCUUCGAGAACGCAAUGGAGGAGCACCUGAAGCCGUCGCCUAAGCCGGAGAAGGUUUUCAGUUUCCUAAGUCAAGACGAGGUGGAGAAGAUGAAGCAGGAAGAGGAGAAGAAAAUCGCCACCCUGACGAGAGACGAGCUGAAAUCCUGGGCCCAGAUCGAUGAGAACGAGGGACUGGAAGAGGCCGAGGAUGCCCUGGAAGAUCAGGACAGCAGACGGCCUAAGGUCUGAUCUCCGACGAAGACGAAGAGAGCCACCUGACGCCGGCAGAGCAGAGAGCCCUGAGGGCGGAAAAGAGGGCAGCAUGGCGACAAGCCCGGUUAAAAUCUCUGGAACAGGACGCGCUGCAGG
RNAcentral lists this unclassified non-coding RNA (5841 nucleotides) under Orussus abietinus. RNAcentral's name for it is "protein lap4, transcript variant X9". The record is from RNAcentral. Lineage: Eukaryota; Metazoa; Arthropoda; Insecta; Hymenoptera; Orussidae.